Molecule: long non-coding RNA, 1756 nt
Filed under: Strongylocentrotus purpuratus (purple sea urchin)
Lineage: Eukaryota; Metazoa; Echinodermata; Echinoidea; Camarodonta; Strongylocentrotidae
Description: uncharacterized LOC115927382
Source: RNAcentral
UAUUAUAUAUAUAUAUAUGUCUUUUUAAAUUUCAUUUAGACAGUCCUGUCGAUUCCUCUCCCUCUUCUUUCUUUUACCCUUCCCCUCUAUGUUUCCCCAUCUACUACCACGUCUCUCUUUCUCAACCAUUUUUUUUCUCUCUCUCUCUCUCUCUCUCUCUCUCCUUUUUCAUCCAACUGUUCCCCCUCCCUCUCUCUCUCUCUCUCUCUCUUUAACCAUACUAUCUGUUUCUGCCUCUCCCUAUCUCCCUCUCCCCCCACCCCUCUCUCUCUCUCUCUCUCUCUCACUCUCUUUCCAGGACUUUCUCAAUCUACCUUCAUUAUAUUCAUAUAGACAGUUUAAUGAAUUUCAUUGUCCGUCUCUCAUCUACCAGUUGACGGUUCCUCAAUACCCUACCCUACCCGUUCUUACUCAUCCCAUGUAAGACGAUUAGGCAUGUUUGGUGGUAAGUUCUUAAAACCCCUCUCCUACAAAAAGAGGUCCGUACAAAUGCCUAAAUCCCUCUCAUUCCAUUCAUCCAAACCCGGAGAAACAAGAGUGAAUUUGACCAACAAAAACUGUUCACUUUGCAAAGACACGAUGCCCCCUUCAAAACCCUGAAAACGAAGACUCGAAAACAUUCUUUUCAAAAUGAAGACAAUACCCGCAGAUAAUGAAUGCGACACAGUUUUGCGGUGAAGCGUUAAUUUUGUUAAAUCGGCCUUUCGAAAUUCUGGUAUAGCGUGAACGGCGGAUUAGCGGAUUACACACGGGAGAGUUGUGGGGAGAACAAUGAGCGUGUACUCGUUAACAAAGAAAUACCUGCGAGGCGGAGAAGGGGGAGCAACUUCCCGUCCUUUUACUUUUCUAUAGCAUAUCCUGUGUAGGCUGAUUAGGGGGACGUGGGUUUCACUAAAGCCCUGAAACUCAAAUUCACACCAGGUUUAAUUACUCCAUUUUGAAUCGGGUGAAAUCGCUUAUUUCGUGGAUUAUAAACCAAGAAAGUAGUUCCAACGAGGAUAAGCGUUUAAUUCAAGUAUAAUCUUGUAUUAUUACAAGGUAAUCAUGUUUACUACGAUGGAGAAAAGGGCAGUGGUGUGCAGAAAUUAGAAACAAUGCUUGCAUGCCGAACACAGCAUAAAAGACUAUCCAGGUAAAGUUUGAGAAUUCUUUUGGGGUUGUUUUACCAACGGAAAUGCGCGCUUAAACAAAUCGAACUUUAACUCCCCUAAUCCUGAAAAAGGGACAUGUAAUCCAUGAGAGCAUAUCGAUCUCUUGCCCAGUUAUAUCGAUCCCCGAGUCUCAAAGUCAUUAUCAUACAAUCGAUAUCGGAAAGCUGAUUACGAUGGCCGAACAAUGCACGAAUUUUGGCAACAUUUCUUUUAACCCCGUUCCAGUUUACAAAAUGGUUUUCGGUAAGCAUGGAAUUAGCAUUGAAGGGCUUCUAGAGUGUUUUGAAAGUGUUUUUGAGGGAUUAAUUUGUUCAGGCUAUUGGUGGGAAGGUAAUAGGGGAAAUUUUAUGUGUGGCAACAUAUGUUAACAGUAAGUAGAUUGAGGGAAUUACAACUUUAAGUCGUGGUUUUCAAAGUUUAGAAGGUGCUAUGUCCUACCUGAAACUCAUUUGUGUACACAAUAAGUCCAUGAAGUGCCUUUAAACCUGGUGUAAACUGAUUAGGAACUGCUGUCCAUUUCAAAGCGGAAUAAGAAAGCAACCACCAAAUGGAUAAGUACGGUAAAAGUAAGCCUUCAAUAAAUUGUAACCUCAUCUGACAUCUUA